Long non-coding RNA from Ailuropoda melanoleuca (giant panda), 2516 nucleotides. RefSeq lists it as uncharacterized. The record is from RefSeq and is a predicted model, not a curated record. NCBI's taxonomy places the organism in Eukaryota, Metazoa, Chordata, Mammalia, Carnivora, Ursidae. The transcript is spliced from 7 exons.
UGCAUUCUGCAAAACGUGAGCCCAACAGGAAGCUGCCUGCAAAUUCAGGUAGCUUUUCUUACUCUUAACCAGGUCUUGAAUAUACUUUCAGAGAAAUGCCAGCAAGAACUAUAAUCAUCUGGGGAAGAACAAAUCUGGAAGAAAAACACACAGAGGACUAGCACCAAGAGGGACUUUGUAUUUGCUGUGUAACAAAUCACCUCAAAACCUGGUGGCUUAAAACAAUAAUCGUACAGCAUUGCUCACAAGUCUAAAGUCCACAGCUCAUAAUGAUGACAAUCCUGAGGAUAUAGGAAAAUGACUUCCCAUGCAAGAAGAAACUAUCAAAAGAAGAGAUAAGAGUGUGCCAUGAAAUUUAAAAAAAGAAAGGAAGGUGGAGAAAUGGAGAACAAGAUAAAGGCCUGGAAUCCCUGCUGCUCCAGAAAGGGAAGAAGGACUCCGAAAACAGUAAGAAGUCAGGACUGUUAACACCAAUGGAGGUUCCUCAUAGGACCACAGAAACUGGAUCUGCAUGCACUCUCUAAAAAGAAGUAGAAGAAGAAGAAAAGAAAAAGAAAGAAAUAUUAUGAAGAACUUUAUGCCAAUAACUUAACAACUUUAAUAAAAUGCACAUAUGUACUGAAUAGCAUGAGCUUCCAUAGCUCAUUCAGGAUGGAAGAACUAGAUUUUGAUUAGCCCUGUAUCUAUUAAGAAGUUAAAUCUUUUUUUCUCCUUUUUUUAAAAAAAGAUUUCUUUCUUUUUUUUCUUGUUACUCUAAUAAAAAGGCAAAAGUAAAAAAAAAUUUUUUUCAGGGGUACAGGUCUGUGAUUCAUCAGUUUUACAUAAUACCCAUUGCUUAUUACAACACAUACCCUCCCCAAUCUACUUUUUAACUGCAAUCUGUUAAAGAAGUUGAAUGAAAAUCCUUUCCACAAAGAAAAUUCACUGGUGAACUCUACCAAGCACUUAAGAAAGACAGAACAUCUAAACAAACUCUUCUAGAAAACUGAAGAAGAGGAAAUACUUUCUAACUCAUUUUCUGAGACUAGUAUUAGUUGACUACCAAAACCAGGCAAAGAUAGUAAUGAAAACUAAAGACCAAUAUCCCCCAGGAGGACAGAUGUAAAAACCCUUAGCAAAACUUUAGCAAGUUAAAUGUGACAAUACAGAAAAAAAUACCAUAGCUCAGGACCAAGCAGGGCUCAUCCCAGAAGUACAGUGCUAGAAGAAGGGCAAGGAGGCUGGUGUGGCUGGACUGAAUGAGCUGGGAAGUGGGAAGAAAUCUGAGCAGUAAAAGGAAGGAGAUCAUGAGGUCUGGGCACAUGUUCUGACUUAACUGGUUUCAAUGACCCUGAACUAAAUGGGUAAUACUAAUGGUAAGCAUUUGAGACCCUUUUAUAGGCAGACAGGGAGGAUUUGGGGGGUAGCAUAAGUAUCACAGAGAAUUGUUAACCUGAUCCUAAGGAUUUGGAUUUUCAAUCCCAGGGAGAGGUACCUGGGAAGCCAUUACAGGGUCUAGAGCAGAAGAGUGAUAUACCAUCAUUUGUGUUUUAACAGUCUAUUUUGUUGAGAACAUAUUUUAAUAGAGUAAGGUUAGAAUCAGGGAGACCAACUAAUAAUAUGUAAAGCAAAGUAUUUUGUAAAUAAUAAACAAGUCAAUAUUAAGAAUCAGUAUUGCAGUAACAGUCAUUUUCUUAAUGUACCAUUUCUGACUAGCUGCUCUACAUAGACUACUUAUAAAUAACAGUCUUUUGAUAAAAUACAUUUUGGUGGGGAGGACUCUCAGAGGAAUGUGGGGAACCUGCUUGGAUGUGUACUAAAGUACAAUGGCACUAAUCGUUCAUUGUCAAAAACAAAAUGUCAUGCUGAAUGAUAGGACUCUGGAAUAAUACGGCAUUCCCUAAUGUGAUGUACUUGGUCCUGACUUGAUUGUGAUGUCAGAAAUACACAAUAUUUAACAUUAUUCCAAAGAGCUGGUCUCCCUUAAACCACCCACCUACAGUCAUCGUUCACCUGACUGAUGGUCAGAGACCCCCUGUAGGGUUUAAUUCCUACUUGUGCCAGAGUAAUCCAGAAGAAGCUCUAUCUGCUACUAGGAACAAAAGUUCCCAGGGCCUAAAGAUAGUGGAUAUAAUAUUUAUCUACAAUGGCCAGAGACAAUUUAAACCUUUCAGGAAGUAAAGAACCAGAAAGACUAAGAACAUAGAACCAAGGCUACAGCCAGGUAAAUGGAACCAAAGAUCAAGUCCAAGACAUGAAGCACCCAUGGGUAACAAGCUUGUGUUGAGGAGGAAUUGGAAUCAGAGACUACUGUCUUGUGAAGCUGUUUUAUAGAAUGUAUAACCAUCAGGACCAGGCCACGGUAAUCCUGACUUUAACCCAGGAGAAAGGAGAAUGGGGAUGUUUGAGGCUGGCCUCCAGGUACCUAAUCUGACCAUGUGAAUCAGUCUUAUAAAACUUAAAUAAACCUACCUUCCUUGGCUUCUAUCCACCUGAUAGGAUACACAGAGAACUUGCCAGGCUGUGGGUCCUCAUGC